CGGGUGAGUAAUGUAUGGGGAUCUGCCUGAUGGCGGGGGAUAACUACUGGAAACGGUAGCUAAUACCGCAUAACGUCGCAAGACCAAAGAGGGGGACCUUCGGGCCUCUUGCCAUCGGAUGUGCCCAGAUGGGAUUAGCUAGUAGGUAAGGUAACGGCUUACCUAGGCGACGAUCCCUAGCUGGUCUGAGAGGAUGAUCAGCCACACUGGGACUGAGACACGGCCCAG
This 228-nucleotide ribosomal RNA is filed under the name uncultured bacterium. RNAcentral describes it as "partial 16S ribosomal RNA". It matches the Rfam family "Bacterial small subunit ribosomal RNA", at positions 103 to 334 of the family's 1533-position model. The record is from RNAcentral.